Amborella trichopoda is the source of this 1903-nucleotide non-coding RNA. The record is from RefSeq and is a predicted model, not a curated record. NCBI's taxonomy places the organism in Eukaryota, Viridiplantae, Streptophyta, Magnoliopsida, Amborellales, Amborellaceae.
GUUCAUAGCCAAACCUGCAAAUCAGAGAGAGAUUGCACACAGUCGAAAUCGUGCAAGCUAGAGCGCGAGAGAGAGGACAAUGGAAGGGAGAAAGCCUGUGUUCUACCAUGACAUUGCCCUCUUACUACUUUUGGUGUGGGUGGGUAGCUCCCUGUCUAUCUCAGAUUGCAUCGUAGCAGAUUUUUCGGCAAGAGUGGAGUUUCUUCCUGGCUUUGAAGGGCCCCUCCCACUCGAUUUCUUCUCCGGGUAUAUUAGUGUAGAUGAGGUGAAUGAAUAUAGACUGUUCUACUACUUUAUCAAGUCUGAGAAUAACCCAACAAAAGAUCCCCUCCUCCUUUGGCUCACUGGUGGUCCUGGGUGCACAGCUUUCAGUGGUCUCGUCUUCGAAACAGGCCCACUGCGCUUUAAGGUGGAGGAGUAUAAUGGAACUUUGCCAGCUCUUCAGUUCAAUCCUUAUUCUUGGACCAAGGUUGCUAACGUAAUAUAUGUGGAUUCACCUAUUGGAACUGGCUUUUCAUAUUCCAAAUCCCCUCCAGACUAUGCCACCAGCGAUUCCAAGACUGUCAAAGAUCUCCAUAAAUUUUUGACCAAUUGGUUCAUUGAAUACCCAGAAUUCUUGUCAAACCCACUUUACAUUGCAGGGGAUUCCUACUCAGGAAUAACAGUCCCAGUCUUAACUUAUGAAAUAGCCAAUGGCAUUGAUUCCGGUUAUCGACCUGUUUUUAAUCUCAAGGGUUACUUGGUGGGCAAUCCAGUCACAGAUGUUGAGUUUGAUUCCCAGUUAGUUCCAUUUGCUCAUGGGAUGGGCCUCAUAUCAGAUGAAUUGUUUGAGGCUACCAAGAUAAGUUGCAAUGGCAAGUAUGCUUUCCCAAAAGGUUCACAGUGUAAUGUAAAUAUGCAAGCUGUACAUGAGUGCCUUUCAAGAAUUAAUCCCGUCCACAUUUUGGAGCCAUUAUGCCCUUUUGCUUCUCCAAGGCCAAGAGUAGAAAUAGGAACAGGACUUAGGAGAUGGCUCCAUGAGAAUUCCUCUGGCAUACCUCUCCAGUCAACUCCUAUAUUUUGCAGGGGAACUGUAAAAGAAUGGAAAAGAUGCAACUAUGGUAUCAAUUUUAAAGCAGAUGUUACAAGUUCUGUUGUUUAUCAUUAUAAUUUGACUAUGAGAGGCUACUCAGCUCUCAUUUAUAGUGGAGAUCAUGAUAGUGGUGUUCCAUUUAUUGGUACUCAAGCUUGGAUAAGAUCUCUUGAGUUCCCGAUCAUUGAUGAUUGGAGAGCUUGGUUGGUUGAUGGCCAAGUUGCAGGCUACACCAGGAAGUACGCCAAUAAUUUGACCUUUGCUACUGUCAAGGCACUGGUAGACCGUUGAUCAAGAGAGCACCCAGCCAAUCUGCAUCACAAAAGCCGUGUAUAUCAAGGUGAAGUGACUGGUAUAAAGUAGUCCUCUCCCUAGAGCUGAUUUAAAAAAUUAUAACAUGCGAUAAACAACCUCCAAGUGAUGGGAGCAUGGUGAUUGCAUAAACUGACUCAACACUCCUACAGCAUCUACAACAUCUGCCUGUUAGACAAUCAAAGAGAUAAGUCUGCCUAAUCUCUAAUGUACAGCAAGGUUAUUUAGAUGCUCUGAUUGUUGCUCAUACGGUUUGUGAUUAACCUCUAUGGGAUAUCUGCAGGUUUCGCUCUGAGCAUUCCUGUGUCAUACAGUUUGUGAUUAACCACGUAUACUACCAGUAUUAUGGUUGAACAAGAAUCACUUUUAACAUACAAGAUAGAAGAUUCCUGUUUUUGUAGUCGACAUUUGAAAGUUGGACUAUGUAACCCAGGGGAGCCGGGCACACAGCUCCUGAGUAUAAGCCCAAAGAAUGCGCUGCAAUGUUAAAGAGGUGGAUCUCAAAUGAGCCAUUGUAAA